GUCAAAAUUGCCAUACUUUCAUGGUUUGCAAUCGGACGCUGAUGUGCUCUCCUUCUUGGCUGGUAGUUCUUCUCAUUGGUUGUACACAAAGACACAUAUAGAUGGCCAGUCAACAAUAUUGGAAAGUGAGGAUGAUACAGUCACGACAGGGAUUUGGGACAACUAAAUGUGAAGAAACCUUCAGACAUUGCUAAUUGAUGGAGUGAAAUUGGCAGGGCAGAGAUUUGGGGGAAGCUAAUUGUAAGUGCAUCUACCUAUGCGAUAUCUAUGUUUUUCUAGAAAUUAGUGAGUGGUUCACAGUGAAGUUACUAGAAAA
This is a long non-coding RNA of Lolium rigidum, 316 nucleotides long. RefSeq lists it as uncharacterized. NCBI's taxonomy places the organism in Eukaryota, Viridiplantae, Streptophyta, Magnoliopsida, Poales, Poaceae. The record is from RefSeq and is a predicted model, not a curated record. The transcript has 3 exons.